AAGAUCCCUGAGCAGGCUAUAUUAUCAGAGGUUCGCCGCAUGGUUGAGGAGAUGCAAACUUUAAACUUGAAGCUAGAGGAAACUGAGGCUGCUAUUGAAGAAUACUUUAAGCCGGUUGACAAGGAAGCUGAAAUUAUAAUGAAGAUGCAGCUUGAAGGGGAGGAGAAGACAAUGAAGGAGAUGAUGAAGGUUAUGCAAACACAAGCUUUGCUUGAAAGAGCUGAAGCAGAAAAAAGUGCAAAUUCACAUAAUGUGGACACAAACCAACAUAGCCAGGAGAUGGAUUCAUCUUCCUCCACCUAGCAACAUGCUCAGAUGGGAUGAUUCCAUGAAUUUGGGUGACUUGAAGUAUAAUUAGUUUUGUAAGAGUGUAUGUCUCUUCCCUUUGGCUAAAAUAUAUUUUGGAUAUGCUUUCUGAGAUCCGGGACAUUCAGCUGUUUGAAUAAUCAAACCAAUGACUCAUGAAAUUUAUAUGAAAAUUUUUAAAAAAAAAAAAAAAAAAA
RNAcentral lists this unclassified non-coding RNA (503 nucleotides) under Hevea brasiliensis (rubber tree). Lineage: Eukaryota; Viridiplantae; Streptophyta; Magnoliopsida; Malpighiales; Euphorbiaceae. The record is from RNAcentral.